Molecule: long non-coding RNA, 395 nt
Filed under: Musa acuminata (dwarf banana)
Lineage: Eukaryota; Viridiplantae; Streptophyta; Magnoliopsida; Zingiberales; Musaceae
Description: long non-coding RNA (MACU_LNC000951)
Source: RNAcentral
UAGGAGGAGGCGACACAAAGGGAAGGAGGAGACAGCAGCAAUGCAGUUGUGAUGAGGCAGCAAUGAUGGCAGGAAGGUGAAGGAGGCAAGGAGGGAAAGAGAUAAAGAGAAGGAGAGAUGGAGGGAGAGAAAUAGAGAAAAAAAGAAUAAAAAAGGGAUAACAACUGUGACAGCUGUCAUAAAUUAAAAAAGAAAUAUAUUGGUGCCUGAUUGUGUGCUUAUUGCCUUGUACCGAAGACUUUAUCAGGCCAUACAACUUUAAUUUCUUCAUCUUUCCUUAGUCUCCUUAUUGUUAAUAAAUAUUUUUUUAUCUUCAUUUUACUGCAUCUAAUAUUACCUACAUCCCUAUUGUUUCUUUCAUAGCUUUAACAAUUCAAAGUAUAUCCUUAUGCUGA